Molecule: long non-coding RNA, 1907 nt
Filed under: Marmota monax (woodchuck)
Lineage: Eukaryota; Metazoa; Chordata; Mammalia; Rodentia; Sciuridae
Source: RNAcentral
ACUAGGGGGGGUCAGCAUGAAUCUUGGGGGUCUACCUGAGCUGGCCAACCAUUGGCUUCUCCUAGACUGAAACCUCAUUUUUAGGAACUGACACUUGCCUGCCCUGUUUUUCCUUUCCUGAAGCUUUUCCGGUUUACCCUGGGUCCUAAGAACACCUCUUCCCCAACCCCCAUACCUCCCACGGGGGUCCCUGGGCGGCCCUGGCUGCACUCCCAGGAUGAGUCUGACAGGCAGAGCUGGGAUGGGCCCCAGAGAAAUGUGCUGCAUGUCAGAGCCUGUGCCAGGAUGAGGGGCCUGCUCCACUCCCCCAGUCAUCUCCCUGCAUGGGGUUCCCCAUAGCUCCUCCCAAAUAGGCGCAAAAAGGGGGGGGGGGGGUGCGUUCUUGCAGCCCUAACUGUGCCAGGCCCAGAUGGGGCUGACGCCUCCAUCACUAACAUCGCCCUUUUAAGAGCACCCCCCACGGGGAGGGGGGUGCUGCAGGCAGGUUCUUGUUGCAGAAACCCAGCAAUGUGCUGCUCCCCCAAUGACCUGCUAGGUAAGAAGACCCAGAUGCCUGCUCUCAACCUCCAGUUCAGAGGUAGGGGUCCCAGCGACCUCUGCAGAAGCCCCAUUUUCUGGAGUGAAGGUCCUGUAGCUGCUCUAAUUGUCUGGUUCACAUGCCCUGCAUUUUGGAGGGCGUCCCCUGUCCCUUCACAUAGGAAUGGGGCUCCCUUCCUCCAUGAGGACCUCUCAAAUAUGGUCUGAGAAAUUAUUUUUAUGGCAUCAUAAAUUGCUGAUGCAAAGGUAUGGCCCUUCAGGAAGAUUUGUUUGUUUAAGUCCUAAAAUGAAGAAUCAAGUUCUAUUUAGAACAGUGUUCAUCCUUCCCUUCCAUCUUAGAGGAAAAAAAAAAAUUUUUUUUUUUUAAUUUUUUUUUUGGCAGAACCAGCCCUUGUCAUCUUGUGCCCUAGGUCUCACUGACUGCCACUUGCCUUUCUAUGUCUCCUUGUUCUUCAGUUAGGUCUCUCCUGAACCUCCCCUCUCCCUCGCGUCCCUUUCUUUACCAUCCCUUCCCCUCGGUACCAACCUGCUCACACAUUUCCCAACUUCAGGCAGCUUCUUGCCUCUCCUGUCAAAUUACCAUCCCAUCUGGCUCCUUUCCCCCAAAGACUAAUCAAGGGCGGACACUUGCAGGCUCUGCUACCUCAUCAGCAUUUCUGUCUCCACCCCCCUCAGAAUGUGGAAUGUUCCAGACUGAGAGAGCACAUGAGGGAGCAGGAAGAAGGUCUGAAUGGCUGGAGUGCAGACUGAGGGAGGUAGAAUGGCUGGAGAAGUAGGCAAGGGAAAGAGAGGGCACCUGACCCUUAAUGCUGGUUUCCAGCUGUCAGGCCUCCCACGCACUUUCUCCACGUGCUCUAUCACCACUGCAGGGCCCCCAAACACAGUUUUUCUUAUCUGAGCAUCUCCAUCAAUCACUCCCAAUCUGAUCAUCUGACACUCCCAAUCUCAGUUUCACCCCAAAGAAACCCCUAGAGUCACCUGGACCACUCCACAGGCAGCUUUCCUGCACAGUCCCAUUGAGUCCUCAUCACUGCCCCCUUGACAGCAGCCUCAGCCUCCUUACUGGUCUGUAAGCUCCCAGUUCCUCCUGCAGGUGCACCUUCCUCUUGGAGCCAGAAUAGUCUACCAAAUGAUUCAGCCAUAAUUGUCCUUUCCCUGCCUGCCCCAAAAACCCAACUUCAGAUGUUUCCCUAAACUUACAAAGUCCAGACUUCUCAACCAGAAUCCAUGUUCAUCAAAAUGUGGCCCUUGGGCUGGGGAUGUGGCUCAAGCGGUAGCACGCUCGCCUGGCAUGCUUGGGGCCCGGGUUCGAUCCUCAGCACCACAUAGAUGUUGUGUCCGCCGAAAACUACAAAAUAAAUAUUAAAAAA